This 901-nucleotide ribosomal RNA is filed under the name Vibrio parahaemolyticus. RNAcentral's name for it is "bacterial SSU rRNA". It matches the Rfam family "Bacterial small subunit ribosomal RNA", at positions 107 to 1004 of the family's 1533-position model. The record is from RNAcentral. Lineage: Bacteria; Pseudomonadati; Pseudomonadota; Gammaproteobacteria; Vibrionales; Vibrionaceae.
UGAGUAAUGCCUAGGAAAUUGCCCUGAUGUGGGGGAUAACCAUUGGAAACGAUGGCUAAUACCGCAUGAUGCCUACGGGCCAAAGAGGGGGACCUUCGGGCCUCUCGCGUCAGGAUAUGCCUAGGUGGGAUUAGCUAGUUGGUGAGGUAAGGGCUCACCAAGGCGACGAUCCCUAGCUGGUCUGAGAGGAUGAUCAGCCACACUGGAACUGAGACACGGUCCAGACUCCUACGGGAGGCAGCAGUGGGGAAUAUUGCACAAUGGGCGCAAGCCUGAUGCAGCCAUGCCGCGUGUGUGAAGAAGGCCUUCGGGUUGUAAAGCACUUUCAGUCGUGAGGAAGGUAGUGUAGUUAAUAGCUGCAUUAUUUGACGUUAGCGACAGAAGAAGCACCGGCUAACUCCGUGCCAGCAGCCGCGGUAAUACGGAGGGUGCGAGCGUUAAUCGGAAUUACUGGGCGUAAAGCGCAUGCAGGUGGUUUGUUAAGUCAGAUGUGAAAGCCCGGGGCUCAACCUCGGAAUUGCAUUUGAAACUGGCAGACUAGAGUACUGUAGAGGGGGGUAGAAUUUCAGGUGUAGCGGUGAAAUGCGUAGAGAUCUGAAGGAAUACCGGUGGCGAAGGCGGCCCCCUGGACAGAUACUGACACUCAGAUGCGAAAGCGUGGGGAGCAAACAGGAUUAGAUACCCUGGUAGUCCACGCCGUAAACGAUGUCUACUUGGAGGUUGUGGCCUUGAGCCGUGGCUUUCGGAGCUAACGCGUUAAGUAGACCGCCUGGGGAGUACGGUCGCAAGAUUAAAACUCAAAUGAAUUGACGGGGGCCCGCACAAGCGGUGGAGCAUGUGGUUUAAUUCGAUGCAACGCGAAGAACCUUACCUACUCUUGACAUCCAGAGAACUUUCCAGA